RNAcentral lists this long non-coding RNA (1250 nucleotides) under Pogona vitticeps (central bearded dragon). RNAcentral describes it as "lncRNA (ENSPVIG00000010966.1)". The record is from RNAcentral. Lineage: Eukaryota; Metazoa; Chordata; Lepidosauria; Squamata; Agamidae.
UCUGUUGUUGGGCUACAGAAUGCUGGACUAGAUGCCUCAAACCCCACCAAUUUGAAAAUGUUACUUGUGUGGACUUCAAUGUCCAGUGGCCAUGCUGACUGGAGGAUCCCCAAUGUUGUAGUAAAAAAAAGCAACUUUACAAAUCCUGGAUCCAGUAGGUUUCCUUCUGUAUUCUUAGUAUGCUUAACACCAGUUCCCUCAUCAUUUAUUACUGAUAUCCAAUCAAGGAUAAUCAACACAUAACAUUUUGUGUAGAGGCACUAGUGGUAUAUUAAAAGGUUAAUAACACGAAUCACUCAAGCGUGCCAUCAAAAACCAUUUUAUUUAAUUUCUGAUGCAAUACAAAUCAACUAGUGUCUCAUAUUCAGCUAAAUAAAUAGCAAUCACAGAACAUCUGGAAGAAUGUGAGAUUCAACACUAUCUUUCGGUAUGAUAUGAAUAGAAAAAUCUCCACUGGCAUUUCAAGAAAGGAAAUACAUUACUACAUUAUACAUAAGAAGGCAAAGCACAAGAACAACAAGGCAGCACUGACAGUUUUUCAGGAACUUUUCCAUCCACACUCACUUCACCCUUGCUAUGCUUUUUUCUGGAAUACCCCUUCUGGUAUGUUCCUUGUAUCCCCAGAACAUACAGGGGGAGCAAUAAAACCCGAACCAGCUUUGUGACUGUUAUAAGAAGACAUAAAUGGGGGAAAAAUGAUUGCCAUCUGACGGCUUCUUGUUAGUUUUCAGUGUGGUCCAAAAGGGUUGGUUCAAAGAGAAGAAAGCAAGAGUACGCAGAUUCUUGCAAGUGUCUCACAUAGCUUUGCUUUUUCAUACAACUCCUUAUCCAUCUUGAAUAAGGGAACAUGUAUGCUGCUCUAGUACAUCAGGCUUAGCAUGAGGCAUAAUUGGCAAAGACAGCAUUUGAAAGGGUGAUUAAUGACUGCAGAAGUGUGCUGGUUGAAAGAACAUUGCUGAACAUUGUCACUGCAGCUUUUGCUCACUUAAAUGCAAGCUAGAUGGAGCAUUACCUUACUGUGAUUAUUAAUUAUUAUCAAUAUAGAAAUAGGAAAUGCUUAGUGUCUAGUUGCUGUUGGACUGUAGCUCUCACACCGCAGGAAAUGCCAGCCAAUUCCUGAUCUCCCCUUUUUCUCCUCCCCCCAUUGUUUGUCCCCAUCUUGUUGAAAUGUCUUCCAUUAUGUAAAAAUUCUUUUAUAUAUAUCCCUAUUUUGUAUUUUAAGUUGUAAGCCACCUAGAGUGGUUCUAACC